This is a long non-coding RNA of Cucumis sativus (cucumber), 1157 nucleotides long. RefSeq lists it as uncharacterized. The transcript has 2 exons. Lineage: Eukaryota; Viridiplantae; Streptophyta; Magnoliopsida; Cucurbitales; Cucurbitaceae. The record is from RefSeq and is a predicted model, not a curated record.
ACUGCAGCACAAAACUUAGGAUUAAUCUUUAUAAAAGCCACACACAAAAAACAAGGUAUUAAGUUCUUAGUAAAAUAAUAUUUUGUAAAGGAAGUUCUUAGUAAAAUACAAGCAAGAACGUUACUGUUAACAGAUACGCAAUAACAAAAGGUACUUGCAGUUUCUAACUCCUAAGCUUUAAGAAGAAAAGAAAAGUCAUGUCUAUGGAGGAAGAAAAAAUAAUUAAACAAGGAUCUAGUUUUUUUUUUUCAAGUGAGAUGUUAUGCCUCAAUCCAAUGUGAGUUUUUGUUGAAGCUAAUAGCAGGAAUCACAAGAUUGUUGAUGCUACAUGGUAAGCAGCUGAUGCCACAAGAUUAUGUCACGUGCCAAAGCUUCAAAUGCAAAUAGAAUAUGCAGAUGAACUUCAGGCUUGAGACUAUGCAAAAUAACAGGCAUGGGGGGAACUGCAAGAGGUUGUAAAAAAGAAAACCAGACUACUCCCAAAUAAUAUAAAAAGCUUCACAUCAUCUUCAGAUUAUAUUAUAAGGUGAUGUAAAUAUGAAAUUGUAACACAGAUUACCAACAAUUUCAACAAAGACUAGUUCUUACUUAAUUAUUAUUAUUUUUAUGCUAGCUUGUCUCCUUUUGGGAGUUGGUUUCUUUGUAUUCUCAUACUCUUCCAUUUAUUCUCUAUCAAAACUCAAUUUAUUAUUAAAAUAAAAUAAUUUUAAAAAAGAAUGCUUCUCAAACGUGAAAUAAAUAAAUGAGAUUGUUGGUAUUACAGGUAUACUAAACUUGGGGCAAUUUUUAAUUAGGAUCAAGGAUUCAAGGCAAAAAUUGAGGACACAAAUGGGGUUAGGAAGACGGAGCAACAUUUUCUAGUGUCAUGAAAGCUUCACAACAGAUGCAAAGCCGUUAACAAUUUUGUAAUAUAAAGAAUGAAUUAAAUGAACAUUUAGAGGCCAAACAGCAAAUUUCGACCAAGUGCCUUUUGCAAGUUCUGCCAGCUAGUGGCGUUAAAUGUAAGUUUUUAUUUUUCUGAAGAUUUUCCAAAUGACAUUAUGUUUCUUUUAGUCCAGUAACAUGGUGGCAUCAGAAAUAGGAUAAUUUUGUUGCACCAAAACAUAUACUAUUUAGUUCUUCAUUACCUAUCAAUGAAUGAGUACUCUAAUUGUUGA